Molecule: ribosomal RNA, 253 nt
Filed under: uncultured bacterium
Lineage: Bacteria
Description: partial 16S ribosomal RNA
Rfam family: Bacterial small subunit ribosomal RNA
Source: RNAcentral
UACGAAGGGGGCUAGCGUUGCUCGGAAUCACUGGGCGUAAAGGGUGCGUAGGCGGGUCUUUAAGUCAGGGGUGAAAUCCUGGAGCUCAACUCCAGAACUGCCUUUGAUACUGAAGAUCUUGAGUUCGGGAGAGGUGAGUGGAACUGCGAGUGUAGAGGUGAAAUUCGUAGAUAUUAGGAAGAACACCAGUGGCGAAGGCGGCGACCUGGGCCAAUAUUGACGCUGAGGUGCGAAAGCGUGGGGAGCAAACAGG